CGCACAUUGCGCCCGCCAGCACUCUGGCGGGCAUGCCUGUUCGAGCGUCAUUUCAACCCUCAGGCCCUGCCUGGCGUUGGGGCUCUGCCGUGCGCGGCAGGCCCUCAAAGACAGCGGCGGGUGCGCCGUGGAACCGAACGCAGUAGCUCUAUUUCGUUCUGGAACCGCAGCGCUCUCCGGCCGUAAAACCCCCAUAUUUAUACUGGUUGACCUCGGAUCAGGUAGGAAUACCCGCUGAACUUAA
RNAcentral lists this unclassified non-coding RNA (244 nucleotides) under Neopseudolachnella acutispora. Its description in RNAcentral is "partial contains 5.8S ribosomal RNA, internal transcribed spacer 2, and large subunit ribosomal RNA". Lineage: Eukaryota; Fungi; Ascomycota; Sordariomycetes; Chaetosphaeriales; Chaetosphaeriaceae. The record is from RNAcentral.